AACGCACAUUGCGCCCCUUGGUAUUCCGGGGGGCAUGCCUGUUCGAGCGUCAUUUCAACCCUCAAGCUGAGCUUGGUGUUGGGCACUGCCGGUUACGGCUUGCCUUAAAAUUAGUGGCGGUGCCAUUAUAGCUCUACGCGUAGUAAUUUUAAACCCUCGCGAUUGAGUCUUUGUGGAUGCUUGCCAGCAACCCUCAAAUUUUUAUGGUUGACCUCGGAUCAGGUAGGGAUACCCGCUGAACUUAA
Molecule: unclassified non-coding RNA, 245 nt
Filed under: uncultured fungus
Lineage: Eukaryota; Fungi
Description: sequence contains ITS2
Source: RNAcentral